Molecule: unclassified non-coding RNA, 237 nt
Filed under: Hevea brasiliensis (rubber tree)
Lineage: Eukaryota; Viridiplantae; Streptophyta; Magnoliopsida; Malpighiales; Euphorbiaceae
Source: RNAcentral
GUAAAAAUGUACUUCAUGUUCACUUCUUUAUGUACAACCAUGUCCUUCACAAAAUUAUAUUAGAUGUCAACAUGUUUGGUCUUCCCAUGACAUUUGGGAUCCUUCGUGUAAGCUCUUACUACUCGACUAUCACAAUAUACAGUCACUAGCUCAAUAGCACUAUCAAACAUUAUCAAGUGUACCAGAAAGCAUUUUAACUAAACAGCCUUUUGCACAGUAGUCGAAAAUGCAAUGAAC